RNAcentral lists this ribosomal RNA (785 nucleotides) under uncultured bacterium. RNAcentral describes it as "bacterial SSU rRNA". It matches the Rfam family "Bacterial small subunit ribosomal RNA", at positions 43 to 858 of the family's 1533-position model. The record is from RNAcentral.
CGUGCCUACACAUGCAAGUCGCACGAGAAAGGGACUUCGGUCCUGAGUACAGUGGCGCACGGGUGAGUAACACGUGAAUUAUCUACCUCCGAGUGGGGAAUAACUGAGAGAAAUCUUAGCUAAUACCGCAUAACACUUACGAGUCAAAGCAGCAAUGCGCUUGGAGAGGAGUUCGCGGCAGAUUAGUUAGUUGGCGGGGUAAUGGCCCACCAAGACGAUGAUCUGUAUCCGGCCUGAGAGGGCGCACGGACACACUGGAACUGAAACACGGUCCAGACUCCUACGGGAGGCAGCAGUGGGGAAUUUUGCGCAAUGGGGGAAACCCUGACGCAGCAACGCCGCGUGGAGGAUGAAAUCCCUUGGGAUGUAAACUCCUUUCGAUAGGGAAGAUAAUGACGGUACCUAUAGAAGAAGCCCCGGCUAACUUCGUGCCAGCAGCCGCGGUAAUACGAGGGGGGCAAGCGUUGUUCGGAAUUAUUGGGCGUAAAGGGUGCGUAGGCGGUUUGACAAGUCUUAUGUGAAAUCUUCGGGCUCAACCCGAAGUCUGCAUAGGAAACUGUCGGGCUUGAGUAUGGGAGAGGUGAGUGGAAUUUCCGGUGUAGCGGUGAAAUGCGUAGAUAUCGGAAGGAACACCCGUGGCGAAAGCGGCUCACUGGACCAUAACUGACGCUGAUGCACUAAAGCUAGGGGAGCAAACAGGAUUAGAUACCCUGGUAGUCCUAGCCCUAAAACGAUGAUUGUUUGAUGUGGGGGGUACCCAAUCCUCCCCGUGUCGAAGCUAACGC